This 73-nucleotide transfer RNA is filed under the name Dehalococcoidia bacterium. Its description in RNAcentral is "tRNA-Arg". It matches the Rfam family "tRNA". From Rfam's summary of the family: Transfer RNA (tRNA) molecules are approximately 80 nucleotides in length. Their secondary structure includes four short double-helical elements and three loops (D, anti-codon, and T loops). The record is from RNAcentral. Lineage: Bacteria; Bacillati; Chloroflexota; Dehalococcoidia.
GCCCCUGUAGCUCAGUAGGAUAGAGCACUAGCCUCCGAAGCUGGGAGCGAGAGUUCGAGUCUCUCCAGGGGCG